AGGUUGGAACCUGUGAUUAUUGAACUUGAACGACAAAGAGCUCCGGUUGUGGUGGUAUCUCACCAGGUUUCACUUCUCAUCAUGAAACUGAAGUCUCAUCCCAAAAUGGCGUUGUAUUUCAGAGUGCUAAAAUGUUGUUAUUAUGGUCUGUCUUGCAGGCAGUACUGAGAGCUUUAUAUGCAUAUUUUGCUGACAGGCCAUUGCAAGAAAUACCCCACAUAGAGGUAAUUUGAGCAUGAUGGUUGAUAAUGUAAGAUGAUUAUUUGCCUGUAGUUUUACGCAUGAAAUGGAACUGACAAAUUCUCACUCAAUGUCUUUCACAUCUAACCAGAAGAAUUAUCUGUGGUUGCAACAUAUAUAGCACAUACAUGCUUUAAUGAUAUAGUAUUUAAUUUUCUUUUAUCACAACAAUCUUUACCCUUCACAAUCAGUGAAUAGGAAUUUUAAUUAAUGCUUAAGAUGCUAAGAAGCUAUGAAUUUUGGUUUGGCAAUUUGCAGAUGCCGCUUCAUACAAUCAUAGAGAUACAAAUGGGAGUCAGUGGUGUCCAGGAGAAAAGAUAUAAGCUCAUGGAUUAAAUUUGACUGAGAAAGUUGCUUAUAUGGAAAUUCUACACAUGGUACAGUAGCAAGGUCUCCAUAUUCUUGAAUGUAUAUUUCAUUAUAGGAUCUAAUCUUAACAGGGUUAUGUGACAACAAUUUAGUAGUCUCGACUACAAAUUUGGCUGUGCUCUCUCUUUCUCAGAGAGAGAGAGAGUCGCGCACUCAGGAACCUGUGCAUAUGUACGUGCAAAUCUCUUCAAAAAUAAGUUGGUGACUUCAUCAUGUAUUACCCUGAAUCUCGAGAUUUUGUUGUCUUCUUUGAUUGUAAUCUAUCGUUAUACAACAUGCUAACUUCCAAGCAUGGAGGAACUGUAAAUUGAACAUUCGCCUGUUGUUGAUAAUUGCAUUCAUCAGGUUAUACAUUUGCUCUGCUUGAUGAAGGAAGUUGAUCAUGUAACAAUUACCUGUUCGAUUAUUUUGUGUUGUACUUAUUGGGGUUAUUGUAGAUGCAGGAUAUAGUUUGACUUAAGUUGGCCUUGCAGGCUGUCUGAAACAAGUCAGAUACUGGUAAAUUCUGACUUGGUUUUCUUUUAUGCUUAAUCUUUAAGGUGUUUAGAGCAAUGUGGAUGGGUUCUAGCGCAAUAUUUACUACAUUUAGUCCCUGUUUGUUUCUCAUUUUUUUCUCAUUAAAAUGAAAAAUAUAACUGUUAUUCAUCACAUCAAGCCCCUAUACUUGAAUUUCUAUUUCUUGUGUGAGGCCCGUAACGGCUAUAUUUUUCAUUCCAAUUUUGACAUAAAUGGGAAACAAACGGGGCCUUAAUAUCUUGGAAGGAAACUGCCUAGUUUCAUGGUAAUCCACUUUCGCUUCAUCUCCCUACGAUUUCAACUUUUUAGAGUUAACAGGGGAACGCUUGCUACUACUAACCAGCCCAUUAUGCAUAUGAUUCAACAUGCCAACUAUUAAAGAACUUAUUAGAAAUAAAUUGGCGUUAUCUAUUAAAAAUUGUGGUAGGGCAGUUUAUGAAUGUCUUCGUGGUGUACUUGAUUUUACCAAAGAUGAUGAAAACUUGAACUCUCAGGCAUUUAUGUGUUGGAGAGAUUGUUUCUUAUUUUGUGUCGAAGCAAUUUAUAAAUCACAAGUUGAAAUAGGUGAAAUCAAAGGGCAUUACUUGAAUGUUGUUGGUAUAUGCGAAGGAUUGAUCAAAAGAGACACAAAUGGGGAAAAUUUCUCUCUUGCUUAUUCCUAUGCCUAUGAGUUCAAACUAAAGCUCUUAUUUUUUGUUGUGUAAUAGUAUGAAAUAAUGGACGGUAUAAAUUUAACAAUACUUUUUCUCCAAGAUCUGUUGCAGGAAUGGGAUAUUUCGAAUGAGUCUUGAAUGAGCCUCUCGAAAGCUUGAUACAACUAAACUAAGCCCGACCCAUAAAUGGCACAGUUUGGCGGGUGUGGGUGAAUGUAGUAGGAAGUGGACCGUGGUUCGUAGGGCAUUUUGUUUUUCUUAAUUUAUAUCUUCGUUCUUUUUCUUUUGCAUUUAUAUUUGUAAUUAAAAAUAAAGGUAUAAUCAUCUUUUUGGUCAAUUUUAAUUUUUUACUAUGAUAUUAAGGAGUGUAUUUCACUCAUACUUUAGACACCA
This 2171-nucleotide long non-coding RNA is filed under the name Olea europaea subsp. europaea. Lineage: Eukaryota; Viridiplantae; Streptophyta; Magnoliopsida; Lamiales; Oleaceae. The record is from RNAcentral.